Molecule: ribosomal RNA, 253 nt
Filed under: uncultured bacterium
Lineage: Bacteria
Description: partial 16S ribosomal RNA
Rfam family: Bacterial small subunit ribosomal RNA
Source: RNAcentral
UACGGAGGGGGCUAGCGUUGCUCGGAAUCACUGGGCGUAAAGCGCACGUAGGCGGAUUGUUAAGUCAGGGGUGAAAUCCUGGAGCUCAACUCCAGAACUGCCUUUGAUACUGAAGAUCUUGAGUUCGGGAGAGGUGAGUGGAACUGCGAGUGUAGAGGUGAAAUUCGUAGAUAUUCGCAAGAACACCAGUGGCGAAGGCGGCUCACUGGCCCGAUACUGACGCUGAGGCACGAAAGCGUGGGGAGCAAACAGG